Microplitis mediator is the source of this 1194-nucleotide long non-coding RNA. RefSeq lists it as uncharacterized. Lineage: Eukaryota; Metazoa; Arthropoda; Insecta; Hymenoptera; Braconidae. The transcript is spliced from 5 exons. The record is from RefSeq and is a predicted model, not a curated record.
CAAAAAUGGUUGAGGUGCAAAGAUAAAAUUUGUUUGUUGUAUCGAUUUGAAGUUCGCGAUCGACAAGACAAUUAUUUGUGAAAAAGAAAAGAGAAUAAAAUUUUAUUAAAAAAACAGUGAAUAAUAGUAUGUAUGAGAUAAAAGGCUUGUGUCCACAUUCAGGUGGAUGUUUAUUUAUUAUUGGGGUACCUGCGUCCACGCUCGCGCUUGUACUGGCCACCGUACUUGCAGCGGUUCGCGGCAAGCUCCGUGAUCUCAGGGAUCCAGCUGGCAAACACCGCCUACACCCACAAUAAUCCGUUGCCUUUUCUGUGAUUACACGUGAUAACCAUUUAGUAAAUGUCAAAAACUAUCGUAAAGCUUUAAAAUCAUCGGAGAGAUUGUUCCUUUCAAUUCAGAAGAGAAAAAAGAUGAAAGACUUUGAGAUUGAUGGAUGUAAUAUUUGAAUACCUCUUUCCGUGUUCCCGCUUGUACUCGCCGCUGUAUUUGGACCUACUGCCUACGAGCUCUAUUAUCUCAGAUGUCCUCAAGAGUCAAAAUCACCCGGGCUACCCACGCGCUUUUUUUUGAGGCGCCCACUUCAAGUGACCAUAAUAAUAAUAAAACAAUAUUUUCAUGAUAUCAGCAUCAAAACUUGAAGUUUCAGUGUCUCUACAGCCCGUCAAAACAAGCUAAUUUCAAGCCGAUGCUACAAACAACUGCUAGCGAAUUCGUAAUUCAAAAGCAUCUUUAUACAGUGGGCAGAAACAUGCGUGUUUCUUCUCUUGGGAAGAAACAAUUGUUUCUGCCCGAUGUCAAUUAUAUUUAAUCUUCAUUUGCAGCCUUAUUACUCUCAUUUGUUUACUUUUCACUUCAGUUAACUCAUUUCAUUUUUUAAGUGACAAUUUUAAUUAACCAAAUAAAGUUAAUAAAAAAUCAGUGAAAAUAAUAUUUUUGUCUUAUUUACUCUUUAAUAAGUGACUGUAAAUCACAUAUUUCUCAUUCUCUAACAGUCCUCCGCAUCAUCGGCUUGAAAUUAACUUGUUUCUUACUGGCUGCUGAUACAAUCUUAAAGUUCCGAUGCAGGUAAUCAUGAAAAAUAUAGUGUGUGACUCAGGAUAAAAUACGAUUUCAGACUGCGGGUGAUGUCAGCCCUCGCCUGUGGCUCGGGCAGCUAACCUCACCCUAGUCUGAAAUCGUCUUGUUUCAUCACUU